This is a long non-coding RNA of Panicum virgatum (switchgrass), 1986 nucleotides long. RefSeq lists it as uncharacterized. The record is from RefSeq and is a predicted model, not a curated record. Lineage: Eukaryota; Viridiplantae; Streptophyta; Magnoliopsida; Poales; Poaceae. The transcript is spliced from 4 exons.
UACCUCUGUUCACCAUUUUUCUGUCGCCGAGUGAGGUCGGCGGUCGGCGGCGCCUACCUCGCGCCUCCUGCUGCUCCGAUCCAUGUACGCAGGCUCCUUCCGAUCCCACUCCAUCCGCUGCCCCUGUUGUUUGUUCCCAAUUUUUCCCGCGCCGUGUGAGGUCGGACGGCCGUUGGUGGCGGCUGCUCCCUCUCCCGACAUCGGGAUUUCAGGUCCUGGCUGAUAGGUCCUCCACCCGUGCUCUGGUGACCGAGGCCACUGCGGCACCCCCGAAUCAUUGGCAUUGGCAGCGGAGGCUCACUUCCAGUAGGCUGAACAGAGAGAGGGUGCACGACUUGGCGACAGUGUUCCACGGCAGAUGCGCAAUUUGGGCAUUUAUCCAUUCCCUUGUUCUCAUCCCAUUAUGCUCUGAUUCAAAGUGUAUUUUUGUGGAUUGGUUUAUGUCCACAGGGUGCAAGUUACUCCUGUUAAUCGGCUCCGUCAACCGCGUCCAGGGCCGGCGCACGCGGGAGCUACGAAAUUCGUACACUUCGUCGGCACCUGCAACGCUAGCAUCCACUGCGGCCUCGACGGCGAGGAGGAGGACUUCGACACGCUGACCGCCACAUGCCCGCACCCCCGUCCGCGAACUCUGCAGUAGCACACGCGUCAUCGCCAUUCCAUUUUCGUCCAAGGUCACAUCACUUCCAGGCGACGGCUUACCAUGGCAGCGGCGCAAUCCGGGUUCAUAUCCCCUGUCAUCAUCCCUCAUCCUCAAUCCUCAAUGGCAUUGCAGGGUUUUUUUUUUUGAUGGUAACACCGGGGGGACGAUGAGUCCCCACCUGAAUGAGCUUUCAUUGAUGCCGGGAUGAUCCGGUGAUGAAAGGGGUUGUGCAUGGCGCACUUACAGGCAGGCAGAACUGCAGAUGUGUACAAAGAGAGAACAAGAGCAAGGUGGUGUAUAUUACAUAGUAAACAAGGUACUCCAGUAGUCGGCGUGUCGCUGUUGUGAAGCCGGCAGGCGACAACGCCAGGAGUAAAGUUGGAGAUGAGGAGGAAUUGGACUUUUAUCUUGAGCCCAUUGAAGAUACAUGUUGUCAGAUCGAAAUCCAUCAUCAGAGGCUCCAUAAAACCCCAAGGUAUUAGAUGUCUGUUUGGACUGAAUCGGUGGUCCAAUUUCUUUUUAUUAGGGAAUUUAAACAGAUCUGCACCUGCAAACAUGGCCCCUGCUGGAGUGUUUGAAUUGCUUUACUGGACUGUUGGGACUUCUGGCUUUGCUAUUACAUCCUGAAGUUUAUAUGUUGUUACUUGUGAAAUUUGAUCAAGCGUGUUUUGCUUGAAAAAAUGAUAUAAACCUUUGAUUUUAGUUGAGUAUCUCUCUUCUAAAGCCAUGAGCUGUAAAGUCUGAAAUUGUGCCAUUUAGAUGGACAAACAUUAUACAAACAAAAUGAUAUGUGUUUACUACCAUUUUUACUUGGAAAUACUCAAUCGACAUGGGCACCUCUACACUAGCAAAGAGGAAGUGACACAGAGGAGCUAAGCCAGUGGGCACUCAUCUCCGUCAUCAUCAUGUAAUCAUUCUAGUUCCUGCCCACAUCAAGAUCUGCGGAGUUCAAUCAGGGAUAAACUGAUCUUCUUCCCUUUGUAGCUUCACCCUCAAGAGUUUCAGUUUCUAACUUUCCAUGUUUACGUUCACAGGUUGCUUGUUUCUAGUGGAGGAAGAAGUUUUUGGAGCAAAUUCCUACCAGUGUCUCUGUUCGCUGCUGGAUCAGGCCAAUUUCAAGUUCCGUAGUGACGUUUAAUGCAGAAGCAUAUAUCUGAUGUCCGAGUGUUGGAAUGCAGAGAGCAGAGAACGGGCGACCCAUUUUAUGCAUCCAUGUCUCCCGAUUGUCAUCUCAAGAAAAAAAAACGGCUGUUUUUCAGCAGUCUUAAUUUGUAUCAAGCUAUCAGAUUUAUUUGCAAUUUUGACCAGCAUAUCUAUAAAGAAUGGUCCUAUUUGAUGGUGAA